Musa acuminata AAA Group (dessert banana) is the source of this 1222-nucleotide long non-coding RNA. RefSeq lists it as uncharacterized. The record is from RefSeq and is a predicted model, not a curated record. Lineage: Eukaryota; Viridiplantae; Streptophyta; Magnoliopsida; Zingiberales; Musaceae. The transcript has 4 exons.
GGAUGCCCUCAUGGUCCCGCUCCUUUCGCUUUGAACCUGGUCUCGGAAGUAAAUGGGAGAGUGGGAGUGGGGGUGGCGGGGCAAUCCAUUUUUAUAUGCGGCUCGGGUAGAGUGCAGCGAGGAACACAAUCUAUUGUUUAUCCGGUGGUGGUGGUGUCAUGGUGGGGCCGUAAUCUAUGAUGAAAGAACAAGAUUGCUACUCCAAUGACUCUACUCGACUCUAUCGCAUUAAAAUAAUGAUUCAGCAAGGGCAGAAGUGGAUGUCAAUUUUUGACUGGUGACUAAAAAAUGUGGACAGUGGCCUUUAAACUUUACUCUCUUUUCUUUGGAUCUUUUAUCAAGUUGCAGAGCUCACAGGAAGUUGUGGCCACCAAAGUCUCCUCCUCCUCCUCCUCUUUACCCAAGUCGUAUUCCCCUGCCUCUCUGUGUUCUUUCGAGUCCUUUGGAAGGUUAGCAUUUGAUAGAGGAGAACUCAGAAGCAAUGGGGGUCCGCAGGCUGGUCCCACUUACAUUGGUUCUAUCCUAUUACAAGGCUGGCAAGUGAAACCGGAGGUCAAGGACGUCAUGCUGCACAUGAACAAUGGUUGACCUAUGCUUUAUUGUAUUGUUACAAGUCUUGAAGGUCGGACAAUUCAUUAUUUGCAAAGGAUAUAUUAACCAUUCCAAAAUAUGCGAUCUUUUAGGUGUACUAUUGAAAAUAUUGUGCAGAAUUUUCAAGCACCAAGCAGAAAACAUUAUUCCGCAAAACCUUCAUAACAUGGUGGUGCCAAGAUGUGCAAGUGAUGCUGUUCGACAAGCACCCAUCUGAAAAUUUCUAGCAAUCUUUGCCUGUUUGAAUCCCUCCAAAGAUUUGAUGCUCAGCUUAUACCACGGAAAUCUUGUUGCAACACACACCAAAGAAUUCCCUGGUUUGACUACGGAGCUUGUUCUUCAUGAACCUCAUUCUCAUUUCUAUCUUAUGGUGCUGGCUAUGCGUCUGCACAUUUAGAUGGCGAAUGAUGACACUCCAUAUUUGUGGUACCACAUGGCAUUGUUGCUUGCUUGGAUGCUGUCCAAGUAAAGAAGGUCUGUUCAUUGAAAGAAAGACCUUGUUUCUACCAAAUGCUGGUGCUGGUGACACUGGAACUAUUAUCUACAUAAAUUUCUCUUGUUGCAUUGGGAAUUCCCAUUGCUUGAAUAAAUCGAUAGAAUGAUUCAAAUUAACUAUCAAAUGCAUUCUACA